RNAcentral lists this unclassified non-coding RNA (350 nucleotides) under soil metagenome. RNAcentral's name for it is "partial contains 5.8S ribosomal RNA, internal transcribed spacer 2, and large subunit ribosomal RNA". The stretch from base 1 to 120 matches the Rfam family "5.8S ribosomal RNA", at positions 35 to 154 of the family's 154-position model. The record is from RNAcentral.
GAUGAAGAACGCAGCGAACUGCGAUAAGUAAUGUGAAUUGCAGAAUUCAGUGAAUCAUCGAGUCUUUGAACGCACAUUGCGCCCCCUGGCAUUCCGGGGGGCAUGCCUGUCCGAGCGUCAUUGCUGCCCUUCAAGCCCGGCUUGUGUGUUGGGUCGUCAUCCCCCCCGGGGGACGGGCCCGAAAGGCAGCGGCGGCACCGCGUCCGGUCCUCGAGCGUAUGGGGCUUUGUCACCCGCUCGAUUAGGGCCGGCCGGGCGCCAGCCGGCGUCUCCAACCUUCUAUUUUACCAGGUUGACCUCGGAUCAGGUAGGGAUACCCGCUGAACUUAAGCAUAUCAAUAAGCGGAGGA